This 106-nucleotide small nucleolar RNA is filed under the name Helianthus annuus (common sunflower). Its description in RNAcentral is "Plant small nucleolar RNA R71". It matches the Rfam family "Plant small nucleolar RNA R71". From Rfam's summary of the family: R71 is a member of the C/D box family of snoRNAs containing the C (UGAUGA) and D (CUGA) box motifs. Multiple nearly identical copies of this snoRNA have been identified in Arabidopsis, and it is thought to function as a 2'-O-ribose methylation guide for 18S ribosomal RNA. The record is from RNAcentral. Lineage: Eukaryota; Viridiplantae; Streptophyta; Magnoliopsida; Asterales; Asteraceae.
AUUCCAUGAUGCGGGCAAUUUUUUAUCAUCAUAUUAAAACGCUCGAAGGCUUCAUGAAAUAUUUCGCCUUGUUGUUGUUGAAAACUCCUCAACUCCUUCCUAGCAU